RNAcentral lists this long non-coding RNA (15000 nucleotides) under Ananas comosus (pineapple). RNAcentral's name for it is "long non-coding RNA (ACOM_LNC019182)". Lineage: Eukaryota; Viridiplantae; Streptophyta; Magnoliopsida; Poales; Bromeliaceae. The record is from RNAcentral.
GUAUUGUUUAAAGAGAAAAUUAUAUAUAUUAAAUAUUGGUAAAAUUGAGGGGGAAAAAACUACAAUGGUAAAGGAGAAAAAAAAAGGAAAAACUAAAUUACAAAAAUUUCCCUUGAAGAACAAUUCUAAAAUAGGCUCAAAAAUUUCAGAUGAUUGUUCUGAAAAAUUUCACGCAAAUGAGUUGGCAUAUAUCGAUCAUUUUUAUGUUUUUUUUACAAAGUUGAAUAGAAUGAAUUAAUUAAGUAAUUACUCAAUAAACAGUCAAUUUUGACAAUUUUAGAAACCAAAUAGAUUUUAAAUGUAAAAUUGGCGUAACAUACCAACCAAUUUCAAUAGAGUUUUGUUUAAAUAUUUACGUAUAUUCGAUUGAUGCAAUUGUUUAAACAGUGUGAUUGGGACGUAGAAAUAUCUAUAAUUUUAUCCUAAAAAAUUAUUUUAAAAUCACCAAAAAAUUUAAAAAAAAAACAUAGAAUUCAAACCAAAGAUUUCAACUUUCCGCCAAAAUCACACUCCAAAAAAAAAGAAAAAAAAAUCAAUUCAUCAAAAACAUUCAAACCACUCAAACUCAUUAAAAGGACGAAGAUCGAACCCCUCGUGAGAAAGAAAAUGAGAAAAGAGAGAGGAGAGAGGAGAGAGAGAGAGGGGUAUCAUGGGAAGGCUCACCCCACAACGAGCCUACGCCCAUUACUGCUAUAACGCUGCAAUUGCCUCCCUUGCCUCGAUACCAAAGACGCCAUUUUUUUUCUUUUUUGGCUCUUCACCUUCUCCUUUCUCCUUCCCGCAAUACCCCCUCUUUCCUUAUACUCUGCUCUCUCUAAGAUGCCCAAAAUGCCCCUCUCCCACAAAUAAACUAGUUUCUAAGAACUGUUUCUUAGAAUUUUGAGAGAGAGAGAGAGAGAGAGAGUGGAUAGCGUUGCGACAACGAAGAGGGGGCUAUAAAUAGAAAGAGUUAGAGAGAGAAAGAGGGGGGAUAGAGAGAGAAAAGUUGGGUAUUUUUUGGAAGCCCAUGCUAUGGGGACCCAGCAUUUGUACCCCGAAUUAAAUGGAAUGAUAAUUUAGUAGGGUAAAUUACAUGCCAAUACUUAAAUAUUUAUUGACUUUUUUUUCAAUAUUUAUUCUUUUUUAAAGUGAAUUUCAUAGCUCUUGAGAAAAUAUAAUAUGAAUUUUGGGUAAAUUUUUUUUUCCAAAAUCACUUAUCCACUGCACGAAUUUAACUUAAUUAAUUAUUACUGUCAGAUGAUUAGAAUCAAUUAAUUUGAUAUAUUUAUACAAAUAAAAGAAAUAUUAAAUCUAUUUUAUAAAAAAAAAAAACAAUUUGUACAAAUUUUUGAAUGAUUACACUGGAGAAAAUUUGUUUAAAAAACUUAUAUAAAUACAAAUUAGAUGUAUUUUGUCUGAUCUGAACUGCUUUUCUAGACUAUCGAUAUUUCAACUAUUAUGAAAACGAUUUAAUUUAAUAGCCUAAAUUCAACAGCCUACAUUAAGUAGAAAAUUUACUUACAUUUCGAGCAGAAAUUUAUAAUAUUUAUAACAUCAUUUUUAUUGAAGUGGUGGAUGCUUUUCAACACCACAAUUUCAAAAUAGAUUUGUAAAGAGUUAGACUACAAUACUACAUAUCCCGAUUCGGAGAGUUUAUUUGGAUAGACUUACUGUCCACAUCUUACGAAACUUGCUGAUUCAAGGAUCUUAUCUGACUUGUCCAAUCAACAAUAUAUAUAUAUAUAUAUAUAUAGAGAGAGAGAGAGAGAGAGAGAGAGAGAGAGUUAAUUAUUAUAGGCUAAAAUAUUUUUUAUAAAUUCUUUCAUAAAUUUUCUUUUCUUUAAUUUUUUUUUUUAAAGAAGCUUAAUUUAUUUGAAAUUUGAAUUGGGUACACACUUUGGGGUACAUCCGAGGGUUCCCGAAGCAUGUCGAGAGGAGGUGUUCGCGGCGCGAUUCGCUCGCUGGCUCCGGCGUUGCUUCGCCACGUGGCACCUUCGUAAAGUAAAAUGUGGCGGUUGGGGUCGUUGGGUUUAUUAUUGAUGGUGAUUUUUUUUUUUUUUUGAGGAAAUUAUUAUCUAUAUACCUACCAUACGGUCCAUACUACAUCUAGUUUUAAAUUAUUAAUUAAUGCAUUCAAAUUAUUUUUUUUUUAAAAAAAGGUAAAAUUCAAAUACUAUCUUUUUGAUUUCGUACUUUUUUAUUUUAGUAUUCUAUAGUUUAAAGUGUAUCAACCUGUGAUAUCAUUUUUAUUUUUUAGACAGCUUUUUCGUUAAUAUUUCGUUAAAUUAUUUACAAAAAUUUUCAGAUAUUCCACCUAGGUUUAUCGAAUAUUCACUUUAGUGACUUUUAGUUUUAAUUUUGUCACUGAUUUAACAUAAAAAAAUUAGUGGAAUCAAUAAUACAAAGAUAAAAGUAAAAUUACUGAAUACUAAAUUGAUACACUUUACGAAAGUGAGAAAGUGUGAAACCAUAUGAGUGGAAUUUGAAAAUUUUUUCAAAAAAACUUAAUUUGAUGGAUCUGAUUUAUACUACUGGAAGAAAUGUGUAUUAAUAUGGCAUCAAUUAGGUUUUAGUCAUUAAAUACAAAAGAAAUUAGAUGUUUAAAAUUUAUGAAUUUGGAUAAAGGUCAUGAUUUUGAGAAGUGUGCAAAAAGGUUGUCGCAUACUCAACCCGGUGAGCAGAACUCGUGCAGGCUAAAAUUUUCUGUACACUCAUUUACGCAGUUAAUCAUUUUUGACGAAAUAAAUAUCGACUUUUCAAAUGUGUAAAAUUUUUCUGGACACGAAUAUGUACUCAAUUCAGCCCAAUCUAGAACACGCUGUUAUCUAUAUAAUCAUAAUGCUGUUAUUAUUGCUCAUAACCGUUCACUUACGUGUACGUAACUAGUUUACGAUCUUUUUUCUCUCUCUAAAACAAAUGCAUGUAUUUUUUUAUUUUAUUUUUGGGAAGAUAAGUAAGCUAGAUGGACCUUUCUGGUCAUUCUCAUCACACCGGACUAGAAAAAGUCACGAUUUUGAUUUAUUUCAUAUAAGAUUAUUCUUGCAUUUGAAUUCUUAAGAGGAUAUUCUCUAAUAAACACAAUAAUGACAACUUUAAAAAAAAUUUAAAAAUUUAUUAUUUUCCAUCUUAGAAUAUGCAUGAUGUAGGCUACGAUAUAAUCGAUACGUACAGUCAAAAAUUUGAAGAUGAUAAGAUUCUUAUUGCACUAUGAAUGAUCUACAAUGAGCCAAGUAACAUUGCUAGUUGUAAUUUUCUAACUUACUAAACUUGCAUACUUCUUCUUUUUGAAUAAAGUUGUAAAAUAAAGUGGAUAGCACGUAGGCUCGGAUUCCCGCAGGCAUCUGAUGCCUUUUGCUUUGCAUCUUAGUUGGUUUUAAUUCUUUUUAAUAUGAAUUAUUGUGACAUGACGUGUAAUGGCUAACUUCGUAUAGGUUCUAUGUAGGGAUGCAAACGGAUCUGGAUUGGUGGAGCUCCCGCCCCGAUCCACUCAGACGAAGGCAGUAAAUGAGAGAAAAUAAACGAAUUUGGGGCAGAAAACGGAAUAAAGUUUACGAUUCAAGACGGAUUCGGGGUAGGAAACGGGAGAAAUUUUGACUCGUCCUGAAUCCGGAGAAAUUUUGACUCGCCCCGAAUCCGCCCCGCCAUGAACCGCCCCCAAUCCGCCCCAAAAAUUAUUUAUAUUUUAAAAAAAUAUUGUUAAAAAAUAAUAUAUUUAUAAAAAAAGUUCAAAAUACAAAUAAGUUAGUACUUUCAUUUCUAAUUAUUUGAAACUUUUGAAUUUUGUUUUGAAUUGUGAUUGAUAUUUUUAAUUUUUAUAAUUGAUAUUAUUAAAUUAUAUAUAUAAUAUUAUUAAAAAUUAUUAAUUUAUAAUUUAUAAAAUAUUAAUAAUAUUAUAAUUUUAUAAAAAAUAUUAGUUAGCGGGGCGGAUUGGAGGCGCCGGCGGGAGGCGGGGCGGAUUAUGGGAUGUAUUUUUUAACCCGUCACGGAUUCGGGGCGGGAGGCGGGGCGGGAUUUUGCUAGUCGGGGCGGGAGGCGGGGCGGGGCUCCCUCCCCCAGAUCCACCCCGUUUGCAUCCCUAGUUCUAUAUAUAAGUGAAUUGCAAAUAUAUCCCUAUAAAAUUUAACUUUCAUAUAUUGUUUCUAUAAAAGUUCUAAUAUUUUCAAAUAUAUCCCUAAAGUUAGGAUCCGUUAGAAAAAAUUAGUUUACUUAACCCUAGUUAGUUAAUAAAGUGAAUUGACCUUUUUACCCAUAUGUAAUUAAUAGUUGGGACUUUUAAAGAGACAUAUUUAUAAUGAUAAAAAGAUCAUUUUAUUCAUAAAAUAAAUAGUGUUUUAACGGAGAAACAUAUUUGAAAAUAUUAAAAUUUUUACAGAAACAAUAUAUGAAAGUUAAAUUUUGUAGGAAUAUAUUUGCAAUUCAUUAUAUUUGUAGAGACAUGUAUAAAAUUAACCCUAAAAUAAAUGUCUGGGCUUAUAAGCAUUCUUAAAAAAAUAAAAUAUAAUAAAGAAAAAAAAAAGAUGUUGGUAUUGCUACUAUAUGUGAUUAAAGGUGCAUUUGGUACGAGUUAUGUAGUAUUACAGAUUAUUUCGAUAUAUAACUAGAUAUCAGAGAUUUCUAAAUUAGAUUACUAUUAAUCUUGCAUUAUCACGUUUGAUUUACUGUGGUGAUGUAAUACUAGAUCACAGUGGAUACUGAAUUAUUAUGUUUGGUUCAGUAUAUAAAAUUUAGUAAUACUAAUAGUAAAGUGUAGUCUAUUCUAAAAUUACCGUUAUGGUCAUAUUUAAUAUUUUUCUAUUAAAUUAUAAUUUAACAUAAUUUGUACUUAAUUAAUUCUAUUUAGAAAUAAUUUAUUGAUAACCUUCUCCUCUAAUGUUAGAUUUGUCUCUCUGAAAUGCUCAUGUGUUGAUAUAUAUAAUUGAAAAUUUAUAAUUAUAUCCAUACGACGUACGUAAAAAUGUCAUAUAAAUUUAUCAAUAUAUUAAUAAUGCACUGAUAAAAUUAUUACGUAAGUGCAUGUAGUUAGCUCGUUUCUUUCAAUCCGAACUUAUAAGUCUCCAUCCAACUAUUUAAUAUUAAAUGUAUCUUUUUAAAGGACAAAAAUGCAACAUUUAUGUGGUAGAGAUUUAGAGGAAAAGAUAAAGUGCGGUGCAUGGCUGAUGUGGUGCACUUCUUAGGUCAUCUAUUUUUACUUGUUUGGUCCAUUUCGAUGGACCCGGUACACGCCCCAAAAGUUUCUCCUGUUUAGUAUCUGCGCGGUUUACUUCCACGGGACGUGUCCGUUCCCAACCGUUGCCCCCUCCAACGGUCAAUUCCCUUCUCUUAACCGCUCAACUACACUCUUUUAAAUUUCCCUCCUUUCCCCUCAAUCCAAAACUUCUACAUAACCCUUUGUUAAAUCUCUCUCUCUCUCUCUCUCUCUCUCUCUCUCUCUACCAUGUACCCUUCCACAGUGGAUGAUCACAUAUUGCAACCCCCGACACCCCCGCACCCAACGGCGCCACCGCCGCCUCGGCCUCCGCCUCCGCCGCCUCCGCCGCCACCGCCGCUCAUUUUGGCUACUGAUGCAGCGCGGGCUUACCACUACCACCCGCCGCUAUUGUCGUCGAUGGCGGCUCCUCAUGCCCUCCAUGUCCUGUCGCAGGUGCCAGCCCCGUGGUCCACCGGGCUCUUCGACUGCUGCGACGACGUCGGCAAUUGUAUGCUUGUUGGCUAGCUAAAUAUUCUUUCAUCCACUGCAAAAUUUCACUAGUUUUUAUGGAUGCAUCUAAUAUGCACAUUAGUUCAUGCCAAAAUGUGUGGAAAUCCCCCCUCGUUAUAAUCUGCCCUCCCUUGAACUGCUGUACCUAGCACAGUCGAUUAAAGACUCGAUGAUUGACGCUUUAAGAUUUCAAAUUCGAUGCCUAUUUGUUUCAUAUUUUGAUCUAAGUAUAGUUUUAAGAAAUGAACAAGAUAAUAAACUAUAACAUUUAACAGGUUGUGUUACCUUUUUCUGCCCCUGCAUCACCUUCGGCCGGAUCGCAGAGAUCGUCGACCGCGGAUCCAUUUGUACGAUAUCUACUCUCCCACUCUCUCUCUAGAAUAUAAUUUCUCUGAAAGCCUAAGUUGUCAGAAAACGACUUUUUCUUUCCAUCUCGCAUGUAAAGCAUGCGGGGCGAGCGGAGCGCUGUACGCACUGAUACUCUGCGUGACGGGGUGCAACUGCAUGUACUCGUGCUUCUACCGGUCGAAGAUGCGGGGGCAGUACCUGCUGGAGGAGAGCCCCUGUGCCGACUGCGCCGUCCACUGCUGCUGCGAGUCCUGCGCCCUCUGCCAGGAGUACAGGGAGCUCAAGACCCGCGGCUUCGACCUACGCUUAGGUACGUGUGUGCACGCGCGCGUAUAUACACGCGCGUGUAUAUUACUUGAGCAUAUGUACAUAGUAAACUGCUUAUGUAUUGUACAUAUAUGUUUGAUGGUAUAUGAAUACAGGGUGGCGAGGUAAUAUGGUGAGAAACAAAGCAAUGCUGCCACCAAGUGUUGAAGGAGGCAUGAGCCGCUGCUAAUUUAAAAAGGAUGCUGUUUUUUUGUUAUCUUUAAUGAUAAUGGUAUUAUUUUCCCUUGUAUCUUUUUAAUCGUGCCCCUCAAAAAGUACCAAAAUUUCGUUACUUGCACAACAUUUCUUUUCUUGCACUUUAUAAUGUUUCCUUUCUCCAUAUUCCUACAUGACAAGCAAUUCACUAAAAAAGACUAGAAUGCAUGUUCAUAAAACAUAUUCAUUCAAUACCUUCAAUAUAUUUUCUUGGACAGAAGCCCAAAUUGUUGACUUUAUAUAUUGUUUGUAGAGAUGUUACAAAAAUAUUGGACCUCACUUUUAUCCACAUUCAUUCAUUAUCUUCAAUCAAAUAAGAAGAUAAUAUUCACAAAACAUAAAGAACAGAAAGCAUGUGUAAGGAAUAAAAGUUACCCUACGAAUGAAACUGUGCCAUUAUACCGGGACUCUGUAUGUCGGAUCAACCAUCUUCAGUAUAAACAAAUUUCCCUUGUCGCCCCUCGAUAUCCUGGCAAUUUCAUUGAGAAUCAGUAAAAGAGAAUUCCUUUACUUACUACUAACUUUGAGUCGAACAUUUGACAACCAUAAAGUCAUUUGAACUUCGUAUUACUUAACUUCGUAUUACUCAGGUAUAUUAUCAUCUGAGCUAGGUAUAGAUGUAACAAAUUCUUUGACUCCAGUUUCAAUCUAUGCAUAGUUAAGCGAGCGAUAACUUCAGACAAAGAAAUCUAAUUUCCACUCGGUCCAAAGCACAAAACCAACUAGACUAGAAUUUGCUGUAGCUUGCUUGAAGCGACUUUAGGAUAAAAUUUACCAUUCGAUUCCCAGGGGCAAACAUUAUAUACAGCAAAUGUAUCUUCAUGUGAUAACUACUAACAUGUAACCAGCAAAUCAAACUCCUAACCUACUUUUGUAUGAUGAAGUUGUUUACUCUCUGUUCUGUUUUUUAUAGUACAAUUGCGCUUAGCAGUUGCAAGAAUUGCGCUCAUGUGUUUCGGACCCUUUGGAAAGACAAGGAUGUAAGCUUACCGAAUCUCUUCGUCUAAGUAAGUGAUUUCUAGCUCACCACGACCUCCUUCCGGUGCCUUUAUAGGUAUCUACACAUAAAGGAUGCAAAGUAAGAGAAUACCAUUGCGGAGCUAGUUUUCUUGCUAAAUUUCAUUUUGACUUCCCCAUGCAGAAUAUAAUUAAAUAUCCAAAAUGAAAAUUCAACAAAUUUGCAGGUGGCUUGUGCAUGAACUAUCUCUCGAAUUGAGUUUUCAACUUCAGAGAGGCCAAAUCACUCCAAUAAGCAUAAAAUGCUAUCCUAAAAUCCAAAAAUCCACAUAUAUGGAAGACAAGACAAUAAAAUUUAGGGGCAAUUGCUUAUAUACCCCUGAAAAGUUUUCGAUUUACCCUUCUUAAAAGGCUAAUAUUGAAAAUACCCUUUCUACGUUCCAACCUAUUUCUAAUAUACCCCUAGAGUUAAAAUUUGUUAAUUAACUCUGUUAUCUCUGUAAAAUUACUAUUUUGCCCUUUCAAAUAUACCCUUCCACCAUCACUGUCUUUCUUAUUUGCCCUUAAAGUCAGGGGCACAAAAAGUAUUUUAACUUUUGGUCUUUUCCAAUAUACCCCUCUACCGUCACCAACCUUUUUUAUUUGCCCUUAAGUUAAGGGCAAAAUUGGUAUUUUAAUUUUUAACUGUGGUCGAUAUUUAACUCACGUUUAACCCAAGUUAACUUAACAGGAGAUAACUACGGGGGUAUUUUGCAAUAACGGUGGAACAUAUGAGGGAAAUUUUAGAAAGAAAAAACAAGUAGGAGUAAAUCGGAUAUUUUCAAACGUAUGAGGGGUAUAUAAGCAAUUAUCCCUAAAAUUUAUGUUGUUCGCUGAAUGAGUGAGGAGAAGUUGAAAUCACCCACACUAACAACUGAAAAGAAAAGAAAGACUUACCAACAACUGAAAAGAAAAGAAAAGAAAAGAAAGACUUACCAAACCAAAAAUUUUGAAAGUAUCAAAUCUGACUGCCACCCUUCUUUCAUUAAGAGGAACCAGGUUUGCUGUGACCUGCAAGGACGAUAAAGUUGAACAGAGAGAACUUUAGAGGGGCAUUAUAUGUUGUGCUAGAGAACCUCGGAAGAAAAAAAUUUGUGCUAGAGAAACACAACCUAUCAGAAGAAGCAAGAAAAGAGGCAAUCAUAUUCAUUGAUACAUAAAACAAAAUUUGAAGAAAAUGCCCUGCAGAUCAUAAAUUCUUUAGUAGGUUAUACUAGUUAAAUUUAUGGUUGCAUUCCAUUGCAAUUAAAAAUGCAUUGCUAAAAUAUUUUAGAAAAUUUAGAAGUUGUGAACAGCAAAAACUUAAGCAUGCAGGAGGAAAUGCAUGAAUUGCACCAAUGAAUUACCUGGUUAAAGUAAGGCCAGGUUUCCAUAUUUUGAGCCCUUAAUGUGUCCGUGUUGAUGGCCUGGUAUAUUUUCCCAUUCGGUCGUAAAAACUUUGGCCUCUGCAACAGCCAAUAUUACAUCAAUUAUCACCAAAUUAAUAAUGUUGAUUUGCCAGUAUCUGAUAGAAGAAGAAAAAUUAAUAGAUUUGCAUUAAUAUACAAGCAAAUCUGAGGUGAAUGUGCAAGAAUUGAAAGAGAAUUUACUCAAAAGGGAUAAUAAAAUGAGCUGUUUUCGAAGGGCAACAACUAAAGCAGAUGCUUUGGGCAAAUAAGAGAAAAAGAAACAUUACCUGAGUUUGUAAAAUGGACCUAGAAGUUGUAUAUAGAAGCUCCCAUUUUCCAUUAAGCAAAUCUGACUUGAGUGGCUCCUUAACCGGAUUAAUUGCCUCAAGUUCACUUGCAAUCUAUUGAAUUUACAGAUUCAAAGAAUACUGUUAGAAAUUGAUGGAAUCAAACAUGAUCUUCCAAACUACUUUUCAAAUUCACGUGCAAUCUGUUGAAUUUACAGAUUCAGAGAAUACUGUUAGAAAUUGAUGGAAUCAAACAUGAUCUUCCAAAAUACUUUCACGAUCGUUUUUUAUCUCUCUUUCAGAUCUCAUGCCGCUAACCCUAAACUCUAUAUCCUUCUAAAAAUCUCAAAAAUUUAUUUUUUUAUAAGAGUAUUAUAGCUCUCACAAUAAAAAAUAACUGACGGUAGUCAAUUGACUUUGAAAUUUAGAGAGACGGAGUUGAUAACUAACAACGUUGAGGCAACUUUUUAAAGUUUGAUUGCCAAGCAUAAGCGGGUCAAAAUUUUACUUAUUAUUUUUAAAAAAAACCAAGAAAAUUUGGAGUUAGAUAGCAUAUGUUUGUUUGCUCGUAACUGAUUUUCGGAUUGAAAAUGACUUUCAGUUCAACUACAAUUCGGAUAAAUAUCAUUUUUUUUUGUACCGCAGUUUGUUUGAUAAUAAGUAAAUGACUUUCGAAUUAUGGUUUUUCCCCUUUUUUUUUGUUCGUAUUAUAAUUUUCAUCUAUUUCUCUCGCGUAAUAAACUUCACAAUUAUGGUGUUUCAGAGAAGUGGAGUGCUGGACAACUUUAAUUUACGACGAACCAAACAGCAAAAGACGAAAAAUAACUUCUCCCCUCUCGUCACUUUCGGUGAAAUAAACAUGCCAAUUAAACAUGAAACUACAAUUGUAGUGAUGGAAAAGAACAGAAACUAGAGGUGUACGUGUACCCGAUCGACGCUCUCUUGGUCCUCGGGACCGGCGUCGGCGCCGCGAUCGAGGGGGGCGAUGGCGGCGAGGAGCUCCUCCUUGAGCUCCUCCCGGCUCUUGCCUCUCUUCUUGAUGAAGGAGGGGAAGAAGGAAACCCUAGUCCUCCACUUCGACUCCUGCGGCGCCGCCGCCAACAACGGCGAAACUCGCUCCCUCGGCCCCCACUGAGGGGUUUGGGCGAAAAGGGCGGGGGACGGGGGGGAUCGGGAGAUCGCGAGAGGAGUUUCUAGGGUUCGGCGGGGCCUUGCAAGGGGCGAGGGGGAGAAAGGAGGAGACGGAGAAGGAGAGGAGGGCAACAACAACGCCAUGGGCGCGCGCGGUGGAGAGUGAGAGCGUGGGGAGAGAGAUAAGGAAGCGAGGGGAGGAGAGGGAGAAGGCCACGUGUUGUUACCCACUGAUUUGGGCGUGGACCCCUCUUUGGAUUUUGUCACAGCGGUUAACUUCAUAUAUUUUUUUUUUCUUUAAUAAAUAACACGCUACACGUUUCAUUCACUAAAAUAGCACGCUAUUCGUUUCAUUUACUAAAAAUAUAAAUUAAACUAUAUGGGUGAGCUACUCGUUUCAUUCACUGAAAAUAUAAACUAAACUAUAUGGAUGAGGUAACACAGGCAUAAAAGGGGGCGGCCGAUUAAGCUCGGAACGUGCGGCCGAUUAAGCGGGGGCAGUUGAUCCCAGAGAUUCGAUUCAACAACUGCUUAAUCUUACAAAAGACUACGAUGGGAUUUAGCCGGUCCUUCCUAAAAAUCACACCAUUUCUAGUCUCACAGAUUACCCACAAGCAGACUACCAAUCCGAUUAUCUUACGUCUCGACGAAUGCGAUCCAAUCCUCUCCGCCCACCUAUCCCAGAUCGACGUCACAUCGUCCCCCCAAUUGCUAGGCUGGACAUUAUCCAAUAACAUCCUUCUAAAAUUAUUAUUCACAUUCAUCUAAUUAUCUAAAGUAAUUACUAAUAUUUUUUAAAAUAAUGUAGAACUGUCGCCAAUGCUCUUUCAAAUCUCAAAUUUUGAGCCUAAACUGCAAACUCUUUAUACAUAACAGCACUAAUAAUAUUAUUUCCUAAUUUGGAAGGACAUCACUAGAGUUACACAUUUUUUCCGUGAAUGAACUGUCAAUAAAUAAAUAAAUAAAUAAUUUAUUUAAAUACAAUAAAUAAAUAAAUAAUUUAGAUUAUAUACAAGUGGUAGUAGAAUUUACUCAGGUCAUCAUCACUCAGGCCACAUCCCGGCGCAUAAUAUCUUCGAGUCUCUACUUUGACACACAGCAUAUAUACACACAUACCCGCAUCCACUGUCCAAACGGAAUUACAAUCCAUUGUUUAUCAUAAUAAUCAUCAUAACAUAUUCGCAAUUUCGCAUACUCAACCGGUGUGGCUCACACAAUACUUGUCCACAAGAAAAAGAUUAUCGACUCCGCGCGCACAGCAUGCAUAUCAAUAUAACACUCUUUUCAAUCCAAACUGGUACCAUUGCUGGGCGAUCAUCUCAAUACGAAAAGAAUCAAUACCUAAUAGCCUGCUAUGAUAAAUCAUGCAGUCCUACACACGAAAUGGCAAUUUGACAAAACUACCGUAUCUAGUAUCGCCGUAAUCAUGCAGUUACUAUAGUUAUGAUAUAGCAAACGAAAGGAUCGAGAGAAUUGUAUACAUUGUUAAUGCAAUAAGAUAAUAUCAUACUCACAGUUUAGUGUGUAGGAGACUCGUAGAGGUUGAAGAAGAGACUGUCGCCUAAGAUCACCAGAAUCCAAGCUAGUCCACUAUAACUGAUGUAGUCAACCGUAGGGGUGCGCAACAAAAAGCCCAAAAAGCACCAAAACUCAUCAAAAGAUUGAAUAUUGACGAAAAACCAGCAUGCAAAGGGUUCUACCGUGGCUUCGAGCUUCGGAGUCGAAGAAGGGGGCAUAGGUCGCCAAUUCGAUCUCUAUACCAUAGGGUCGUCGAUCUUCCGAGUCUCUGCAGAGCUCGUGGUGGGGGUGGUUUAGCUCCACUUAGGGGGAGGUUAGUGGUGGUUGAAGGAGAAAAGAAAGAGGAAGAGAGAGAGAGAGGAGAUAGUGACGGAGGAGUAUAGAGAGGAAAAAGAAAAGAGAGAACAAGAGAGAGAUACAGAAGAGAGGAGAGAGGCUCUUUCCCUUGGACAAGAAAGGGAAGGAAAGGAGGAACAAGUCCGGCUUUAAUAUAUGAGCAAAAACAUGGGGAAAAAAUAACUAAGUUGAGAAAUAAUUCAGAUUAAACUUCAAUAUGAUGUUUAAUAUAUGAGCAAUUCAAUACAUAAUUCUCCAGUGCCUAAUUAUUGUUAAACCAAUAAACUUCCCAAAAGAUAAAAAGAAAGAAGAGUUAUUCCUCCGCGGAGUAUUUAGCUCUAACAUAAAUUUUUAAUACCAAACAUCUACUAAACUUGUAUUCAUUCGCCAUCAACAACAUGUUAAAUUCUGCAGGUUCUUACUUUCAUAGGGUAAUUGUAGCCCGACGCAAAAGGUCGGUAACUAAAUACAGAGAAAGUAAAUGUACAACAUUCAAAUCACCGAACAGUAUCAAUCCAAAAUUUACUUGAAAAUGAUAAAAAUUAGGAGAGGUUAUCUAACCCGCCCUCCUAACGAGAAGCCUUCUUUUUGCCGGCGACGGCAACCCUCUUGCCCUUCAAUGUACGGCAAUUGUUCUUCGUCCUCUGCCCCCUGCAAGGAAGCCCCAUCUCAUGCCGAAUCCCCCUAUAGCACCGAAUCUCCUUCAGCCUCUCAAUCGCCAGCCUAUUGAACCGCUUCUGCAAUGCCCAAAUGGAAGAAUACGGUACAUAUUAUAGACCUUACUUGAACUAUAGUGUAUCUUGAAGUGCUACAUGAAUCCUAAAAAAAAAAAGAAAAAUUAAAACAAUUACUGUGAAAACAUACAGUGCACUCAAUCUAAGUAAUUUGCGGUCCAAGCUCAACAAUAUUUGUGAUGCUUUGUUGAGAGAAUAUUUUGCAUUUAAAACCUAACAAAAUAUUCUGUUAUCUUUUUUCGGACAAAAGCCGAUGAAUUCUCACAACAUUGUUUACCAAACAAUAACCCAGAAAGGGUUAUUGCAUCAAAAUCACAUUUUGAAUCCGGAAACAAGCAUAAAUCAGCAAAAGAACAAACGAGUAGUGAGCAUACAAUGUCUCCUCCGUUCAUAUAUGUAUAUUCUUAUAAAACUAAGUAAAUGUUAUAUAGUAAAUUGAGGUCUCGUUUAAAUAGAAAUUCUAUACCAAAUACUGGAGGAGGGGAUUGUGGAUUGCUUAUAAUCCUUACUUGUUUGUUUGGUAACAAAAGAUAAUAAUGAUAAUAAUUCGAAAAAAACCUUUUUUUCACUUGCAAGAUAUUUUAAAAACAAAUCGUCAUCCAUCACCGCAUCUGGACGGAGUGUAUUUUAAGCUGAUCAAUCAUAACAAGAAGUGAAAACCUAUCCGUAUCAAAUUAUAUAGAAUUUAAUGUUUUUUUAAAAUAAAAAGGCACUGAUUCCAAAAGAGGUUGUAGUUUUUUGUCUUUUUUUUUAAAAUUCGGCUGUCCAUUUCAAAUUGGGCUAUGCUAUUAACACUAGUUAAAAAACAGAUAAUUGCACCAAAAUCACAUUUUGAACCCGGAACCGAGCACGAAUAGACAAAAGAACAAACGGGUAGUGGGCAUUACGAGGUCGCCUUCAAUCAUGUACUUGGAAACCUCGUCUCUGAGUGAGAUAAGCUCAUCGUCUGAGAGAUCCUUCGUGACCUUGUUCUCCAAGCUGAGGUCGCACAGGAUCUGGCGCGCCCUGUUCCGGCCAAUGCCGUGGAUGUACUGGAGCGAGAACUCCACCCUCUUAUUGUUGGGGAUCUCCACUCCCCCCACGCGAACGCACCGGAUGGUGAGUCCCCCGCACUGCGCAUGGAUCGAAGAGGAGAGGAAGCGGUGAGAUUGGGAGAGUGAAACAAGAACGGAGGAGGGAGAAGAGUGGGUUGGUUACCUUAGAAGAGGAAGAGGGGGCGGGGAAGGAGAGAGAGAAUGGAGAUGGAGUGGAUCCUUUGGGGACGAUGGAGAAGGAGGAGGUGAGGGGGAGCGCCGCGAGGGACAGGGUCGCCAUUGUUGGUGUUGGGUUGGAGCUCCGAUUGGGGUUUUGUUGUGUGGAUAAGAGUUAUCUCCUCCUUUCUUGCCCCUUUUUUUAGGCUAAAAAAUAGUGAUGGGUUAAUUAAAAUCUAAAUUUAAUUUUAAUUAUGAUAUCAAAUUAUUAAUUAUUCAAAUUAAUUAAUUUAAAUUACUAUCUAUUACUUAAAUUAUAAAGUAAUUAAUAAAUUUAUUAUUUAUAAUUAAUUAGCUAAUUAAAAAUUAAUAAUUUAAUGUCUUUAUUCAUAUUCAUAAAUUAAUAUUUAUAUUGAUCGAUCGUUUAAUUAAUAUUUUUAUUAAUCUAGUUAAUUUCUUUACUAAUUAUCAAACUAAAAUAAUUUACUAACUUUAAAUAGUUAAAUAGUUUUUAAAUUUAAUUAAUGAAUUAAUAUAUUUUUAUUAUCCUAUACACUAUUCAUAGCUAAUAAAUUUAAUAAAUUUUUAACAUUAUUUUUAAUUAAUAUUUUGGUAUUAAUUAAUUAGAUAAAAUAUUUUUAAUUUAAAAUUAUAAUUCUUAUUUUUUCUAUUUCAAUCUAACGAAUCAAACGCUAUUUACCUUAUUCUUAUGUUCAAUUUUUAUCCAAAUGUAAAAUUAGUUUAGUUACUGCUUAUGCCUGAACUUAUAUCUAUUUUUCAAAUAAGCCAUUUUUAUUUAUACAUGAACCAAAUGCAGCCCAAAUGUGUCUGAUUUUAAAUUCGUUAAAGCCUAUAUUUUAAUAUGUUCAAAUU